Molecule: transfer RNA, 72 nt
Filed under: Acidimicrobiales bacterium
Lineage: Bacteria; Bacillati; Actinomycetota; Acidimicrobiia; Acidimicrobiales
Description: tRNA-Gln
Rfam family: tRNA
About the family: Transfer RNA (tRNA) molecules are approximately 80 nucleotides in length. Their secondary structure includes four short double-helical elements and three loops (D, anti-codon, and T loops).
Source: RNAcentral
UCGGGGAUCGUCCAACCGGCAGGACACCGGACUUUGGAUCCGGGAAUCGAGGUUCGAGUCCUCGUCCCCGAG